GCACAGCAGUGGUGACUUAAAUGCAUUAUGGAUUCCACAGCCACUUCAUUCGAGCCAGCAUAUUCUUGGAAGAUGAUACGUAGAAGGCUGUGGCUUAAAGGGGUACUCCGGUGGCCAAUGUGUUUUUUCAGUUUUUACAUACCCUUGCAGGGGUGUGAAAAAGGGGCAAAACCAUUGCAGGAGAAAAAAAAACAGCAGCGCCUGCAGCACUGACGUCUUGUCCACAACAGUGAACAAACAUGGCCGCAGGUGUGGACGACAAUCAAAAGCAACCAGAAAAACUACUGAACUUCCCUCACAGAAUAGACGUCAGUAAAAAACAGAUAUGCUGUAGACAAAUGUUUAACAUGUGAAUUACAAAAGUGCUAAACUCACUACAAACACGCUAAAUAACCAUAAAACUGUGGUACCGGAGUACCCCUUUAAUAUGAUGCCGUAAAAAAGGCUUCUUGUGCGUGCAAUGUGAAUCCACACAGGUUUCUGAGCCCAACCCUUUGAGUCCAUAUUCCCAGCUGUGGACAUAGCAAGUAGGGUUGGGCGGUAUACCGGUUCAUACCGAAUACUGACAUUUUUGUGCUGCACGAUAUG
Molecule: long non-coding RNA, 588 nt
Organism: Hyla sarda
Lineage: Eukaryota; Metazoa; Chordata; Amphibia; Anura; Hylidae
Exons: 3
Source: RefSeq, a predicted model, not a curated record